UUGACUCGUAGAAUCAUCAACAGGCAGCUGCAUUGCAGCAUUAUUCUUUAGUUUGGCUAGAGUAUAGAGAGAUGUAUAGAGAGAAGACAGAGACACAAAGAGAGGUAAAGAGAGAGAGAGGAAGAGGUUGUAGCAUUAUUCUUUAGUUUGGCUAGAGUAUAGAGAGAUGUAUAGAGAGAAGACAGAGACACAAAGAGAGGUAAAGAGAGAGAGGAAGAGGUUGUAGCAUUAUUCUUUAGUUUGGCUAGAGUAUAGAGAGAUGUAUAGAGAGAAGACAGAGACACAAAGAGAGGUAAAGAGAGAGAGGAAGAGGUUGUAGCAUUAUUCUUUAGUUUGGCUAGAGUAUAGAGAGAUGUAUAGAGAGAAGACAGAGACACAAAGAGAGGUAAAGAGAGAGAGGAAGAGGUUGUAGCAUUAUUCUUUAGUUUGGCUAGAGUAUAGAGAGAUGUAUAGAGAGAAGACAGAGACACAAAGAGAGGUAAAGAGAGAGAGGAAGAGGUUGUAGCAUUAUUCUUUAGUUUGGCUAGAGUAUAGAGAGAUGUAUAGAGAGAAGACAGAGACACAAAGAGAGGUAAAGAGAGAGAGGAAGAGGUUGUAGCAUUAUUCUUUAGUUUGGCUAGAGUAUAGAGAGAUGUAUAGAGAGAAGACAGAGACACAAAGAGAGGUAAAGAGAGAGAGGAAGAGGUUGUAGCAUUAUUCUUUAGUUUGGCUAGAGUAUAGAGAGAUGUAUAGAGAGAAGACAGAGACACAAAGAGAGGUAAAGAGAGAGAGGAAGAGGUUGUACUGCAGUCUAAUUACAGGAGGCAUGGGUUCUCAUGUCAUUCCUGCUUAAUAAGGUUGUACCUUUUUAAUGAGGAACAAAUCCAUUCACAACUCAGCCUACAAAUCUGGCUGCAUAGUUUAGCACAUUAGUUUUAUCA
Long non-coding RNA from Oncorhynchus keta (chum salmon), 920 nucleotides. RefSeq lists it as uncharacterized. The record is from RefSeq and is a predicted model, not a curated record. NCBI's taxonomy places the organism in Eukaryota, Metazoa, Chordata, Actinopteri, Salmoniformes, Salmonidae. The transcript is spliced from 5 exons.